UAAUUAAUAUGAUGAUAAUUUCAUACCCAAAACUGAGCUAAAAUGCUGAAUUUUUAUACACAUGCACUACCAUCUGAUAUGUUAA
RNAcentral lists this small nucleolar RNA (85 nucleotides) under Bactrocera dorsalis (oriental fruit fly). Lineage: Eukaryota; Metazoa; Arthropoda; Insecta; Diptera; Tephritidae. The record is from RNAcentral.